Molecule: ribosomal RNA, 615 nt
Filed under: uncultured Serratia sp.
Lineage: Bacteria; Pseudomonadati; Pseudomonadota; Gammaproteobacteria; Enterobacterales; Yersiniaceae
Description: bacterial SSU rRNA
Rfam family: Bacterial small subunit ribosomal RNA
Source: RNAcentral
ACUCAAAUGAAUGACGGGGGCCGCACAAGCGGUGGAGCAUGUGGUUUAAUUCGAUGCAACGCGAAGAACCUUACCUACUCUUGACAUCCAGAGAACUUGGCAGAGAUGCCUUGGUGCCUUCGGGAACUCUGAGACAGGUGCUGCAUGGCUGUCGUCAGCUCGUGUUGUGAAAUGUUGGGUUAAGUCCCGCAACGAGCGCAACCCUUAUCCUUUGUUGCCAGCGAUUCGGUCGGGAACUCAAAGGAGACUGCCAGUGAUAAACUGGAGGAAGGUGGGGAUGACGUCAAGUCAUCAUGGCCCUUACGAGUAGGGCUACACACGUGCUACAAUGGCGUAUACAAAGAGAAGCGACCUCGCGAGAGCAAGCGGACCUCAUAAAGUACGUCGUAGUCCGGAUUGGAGUCUGCAACUCGACUCCAUGAAGUCGGAAUCGCUAGUAAUCGUAGAUCAGAAUGCUACGGUGAAUACGUUCCCGGGCCUUGUACACACCGCCCGUCACACCAUGGGAGUGGGUUGCAAAAGAAGUAGGUAGCUUAACCUUCGGGAGGGCGCUUACCACUUUGUGAUUCAUGACUGGGGUGAAGUCGUAACAAGGUAACCAAGGGCGAAUUCCAG